CGACAGCUCCCAGUUCGAUUUGAACUGCGGGCUGUUGAUCGGCCGCACGUCGGUAUGACCAUCGACGCGCAGCACCCAGGCGAUCUCCGCCGGAAUCUGCUUGUCGAGAUCAAUCAGCGCGGUGGCGAGCUUGUCGAGUUCAGCGCGGCCUUCAGGCAGCAGCAGCGCCUGUCCGGUGUCGAAGAACACUUCGGACUGGAACACGAAACGGUCGCC
RNAcentral lists this unclassified non-coding RNA (216 nucleotides) under Hevea brasiliensis (rubber tree). Lineage: Eukaryota; Viridiplantae; Streptophyta; Magnoliopsida; Malpighiales; Euphorbiaceae. The record is from RNAcentral.